GACGAACGCUGGCGGCGUGCUUAACACAUGCAAGUCGAACGGAAAGGCCUGCUUUCCCUUGUGGAUUGCGGGUACUCGAGUGGUGAACGGGUGAGUAACACGUGAGUUAUCUUCCCCCAACUUGUGUAUAAGCCUGGGAUACUGGGUCUAAUUCCCGAUAGGACCGCAGGGUGGUGCCGGUGGUGGAAGACGAUUUUCUAGUGGUUGCGGCUGAGCUCGCGGCUUAUCAGCUUGUUGGUAGGGUAAUGGCUUACCAAGGCGGCGACGGGUAGCCUGCCUGGGAUGGUGGACGGCCACAUUGGGACUGAGACACGGCCCAGACGCCAACGAGCGGCAGCAGAGGGGAGGCAUGAGCAAUGAGCGGAAGACUGAUGCAGCGACGCCGCGUGGGGGAUGACGGGCUUGGGAUUGUAACCUCCUUUCGACCGAGAGGAAGCCACCUGGAUGGAGGGGUGGUGACGGUAGUGGUAGAAGAAGCACCGGCUAACUACGUG
RNAcentral lists this ribosomal RNA (494 nucleotides) under uncultured bacterium. RNAcentral describes it as "partial 16S ribosomal RNA". It matches the Rfam family "Bacterial small subunit ribosomal RNA", at positions 28 to 507 of the family's 1533-position model. The record is from RNAcentral.